UUGGAGGGCAAGUCUGGUGCCAGCAGCCGCGGUAAUUCCAGCUCCAAUAGCGUAUAUUAAAGUUGUUGCAGUUAAAAAGCUCGUAGUUGAACUUCGGGGUCUACCCAUUGGUCAGGCUUAAUUGUCUGCACUGGUGAGAUGGAUCUCUACCUUCUGAGGAACUUUCAUGCCAUUUAUUUGGUGUGAUGGGAAAUCAGGACUGUUACUUUGAAAAAAUUAGAGUGUUUAAAGCAGACUAUCGUCUGAAUACAUUAGCAUGGAAUAAUGAAAUAGGACGGACUGAUUCUAUUUCGUUGGUUUCUAGGAUCACCGUAAUGAUUAAUAGGGAUAGUUGGGGGCAUUAGUAUUCAAUUGUCAGAGGUGAAAUUCUUGGAUUUAUUGAAGACUAACUACUGCGAAAGCAUUUGCCAAGGAUGUUUUCAUUAAUCAAGAACGAAAGUUAGGGGAUCGAAGACGAUCAGAUACCGUCGUAGUCUUAACCAUAAACUAUGCCGACUAGGGAUCGGACGAAGUUAAUUUUAUAAUGACGCGUUCGGCGCCUUACGGGAAA
Molecule: ribosomal RNA, 550 nt
Filed under: uncultured Glomeromycotina
Lineage: Eukaryota; Fungi; Glomeromycota
Description: SSU rRNA
Rfam family: Eukaryotic small subunit ribosomal RNA
Source: RNAcentral